GAUGAACGCUGGCGGCGUGCCUAAUACAUGCAAGUCGAGCGAACGGACGAGAAGCUUGCUUCUCUGAUGUUAGCGGCGGACGGGUGAGUAACACGUGGAUAACCUACCUAUAAGACUGGGAUAACUUCGGGAAACCGUAGCUAAUACCGGAUAAUAUUUUGAACCGCAUGGUUCAAAAGUGAAAGACGGUCUUGCUGUCACUUAUAGAUGGAUCCGCGCUGCAUUAGCUAGUUGGUAAGGUAACGGCUUACCAAGGCAACGAUGCAUAGCCGACCUGAGAGAGGGAUCGGCCACACUGGAACUGAGACACGGUCCAGACUCCUACGGGAGGCAGCAGUAGGGAAUCUUCCGCAAUGGGCGAAAGCCUGACGGAGCAACGCCGCGUGAGUGAUGAAGGUCUUCGGAUCGUAAAACUCUGUUAUUAGGGAAGAACAUAUGUGUAAGUAACUGUGCACAUCUUGACGGUACCUAAUCAGAAAGCCACGGCUAACUACGUG
Molecule: ribosomal RNA, 497 nt
Filed under: uncultured bacterium
Lineage: Bacteria
Description: partial 16S ribosomal RNA
Rfam family: Bacterial small subunit ribosomal RNA
Source: RNAcentral